UGGUGAAUUAGCAACAGUCUACUGUUUCUUCACAGAACAGAAGUACUGGCAACAGCAAUGCAAGAUUCCCCACACUGAAUCACAAAAAUGCCUCAAACUGGUGCAGGAGGACUAUUUCUAAUGAUGAAAAGGUAGUUCACUUUCACACUGUUCUUGACUUCU
Molecule: small RNA, 162 nt
Filed under: Chelonoidis abingdonii (Abingdon island giant tortoise)
Lineage: Eukaryota; Metazoa; Chordata; Testudines; Testudinidae
Description: TUC338 (ENSCABG00000017793.1)
Source: RNAcentral